This 1091-nucleotide long non-coding RNA is filed under the name Zonotrichia albicollis (white-throated sparrow). RNAcentral's name for it is "lncRNA (ENSZALG00000003617.1)". Lineage: Eukaryota; Metazoa; Chordata; Aves; Passeriformes; Passerellidae. The record is from RNAcentral.
GUGCUCUCUCUCGCUCUGCAGCCAGCGCAAGGUUGAAAAUGCCAAACAGCUACUAGAAGAAACUUUGGCAGGUGGCCAGGCAGAGGACCUGUGUCUAGAGCUGCAAAAAGCCAGCAAGCAGCUGGAGGAUAUCAGCAAGCAUGUAAGGGGCAGCCCAGUUCCCUCUGUGUGGGGCAGCAGGAGAUGCCGAGGGCCGCGUCCGACGCGCGGCCGCCCUGGGGAAGGGAAUCGCGCGUUCCGAAUGCUGUGCCUCCCUGCAGGAGUGGAACCAGCAGAGGAAGUAAAAUUUGAGGGGGUGGUGACAACAGUUUGCUGAUGAAAGAGGCAGCAUUGCAUAUUUGUGGUGGCUUAAAAAAAAAAAAAGAGAAAAGAGGGGAAAAAAAAAAGGCACCCAAAAAUAGUUUCCAUACACAGUCCACCCCAACGUAAAAAUGCAGAAGUUCAGAGGGAGCUUUAUCACUUCCUGAGAAAGAACAGAUGCAGUUUGGUUUCAUUUACAUGAACGGCGGAGGAUCAAGCUGAAGCAUUUCACUCUGCUCGUGAAGAAGCAGCAUCCUUGAAGAGCAAGUUGGAGGAAGCCAUUUCUGAGCAGCAGAAGCUCAGGGAUGUGAAUGCUGCUUUAGAAAGCACUUGCCAACUGCUUCAGGAGAAGGUGGAAGACCACAAAACAACUGCUAAUGGCCUGAGAUGGGAACUGCUGCAGAGGCGUCUCUGUGAAUUGGUGUGCCAGUGCUGUGCAGAGUCAGAGUCUGAGUACGCUCUGCUGCCCACGAUAGCUGCACACGUAAAAGGGAAGCAGCUCCACAGAUCCAAAAGACCAUGGAAUGAGGGACCCACCUUGUACUCUGACUUUCCCUGGGCACUGCUAUCAGGUGCUUCACGCUGGCACAGCUCCCCUCUGCUAGAUGCUCUGACCUUGGAGACCUCCUGCCCAAAUAACCCUCCUGGGCACAGCUGGGACCAGCCUUGCAGGCAGAGCUCUGGCAGCUGCACCUUGGAGAGGCAUGAUGUGGGACACGUGUCCAGCUCAGAUGUGACCUCAGGAGGAUGCAGGUGGAAAAUAUACUCUGCUGAUGACUACACUGAUGCAG